Molecule: non-coding RNA, 29 nt
Filed under: Rattus norvegicus (Norway rat)
Lineage: Eukaryota; Metazoa; Chordata; Mammalia; Rodentia; Muridae
Source: RNAcentral
UUUCAGGUUGUGGAGAGACAUGAGCUUGU